RNAcentral lists this ribosomal RNA (253 nucleotides) under uncultured bacterium. Its description in RNAcentral is "partial 16S ribosomal RNA". It matches the Rfam family "Bacterial small subunit ribosomal RNA", at positions 524 to 776 of the family's 1533-position model. The record is from RNAcentral.
UACAGAGGGUGCGAGCGUUAAUCGGAGUUACUGGGCGUAAAGGGCGCGUAGGCGGUGAUAUGAGUGUGGUGUGAAAGCCCCGGGCUUAACCUGGGAAGUGCAUCGCAAACGAUAUGACUAGAGUAGAUGAGAGGGUGGCGGAAUUUCCGGUGUAGCGGUGAAAUGCGUAGAUAUUGGGAGGAACACCAGUGGCGAAGGCGGCUCACUGGACCGGAACUGACGCUGAGGCGCGAAAGCGUGGGGAGCAAACGGG